GAGCUCUGAAGAUGAGUGGGUUGAGGCUGUUCCACCCCAGACUUCUGGCAAGGAAAAGGCCUGGAAACUGAAAGGUGAAAAGUCAGAAAAAGAAGACAACCAAGAUAUUCAGAGGGAUGAGUGGAUGACUGUUGAUUUUAUGUCUGUUAAAACUGUGUCAUCAUCAUCACUCAAAGCUGAAAAAGAAACAAAAAA
Long non-coding RNA from Myotis davidii, 195 nucleotides. RefSeq lists it as uncharacterized. Lineage: Eukaryota; Metazoa; Chordata; Mammalia; Chiroptera; Vespertilionidae. The transcript is spliced from 2 exons. The record is from RefSeq and is a predicted model, not a curated record.